UUUAAUUGUAAGUAGUUUUUAAAAUUAGUGUUAGUUAAGUUCUUUAAAUUUAAAGAUUUUGGCGGUAUUUUAGUCUUUUCAGAGGAACCUGUCCUAUAAUUGAUAGUCCACGAUUAGUCAAACUUUUUUUAAUGAUUUGUAUAUCGUCGUAUAUUAAAUAUAUUAAAAGAUAAUAUUAAAUUUUUAUUAUAAUAUAAUUCAGAUCAAGGUGCAGUUAAUGGGAAAGAAGAGAUGGGUUACAAUUUUAAUUAAAAGUAGAUUUAAUUUUUUAAAGGUUAAUAAAAAUGGAUUUGAAAGUAAUUAAUAAUAUAUAUAUAUAUAAUGAUUAAAGCUCUAAAAUAUGU
Molecule: ribosomal RNA, 344 nt
Filed under: Stenotarsus lemniscatus
Lineage: Eukaryota; Metazoa; Arthropoda; Insecta; Coleoptera; Endomychidae
Description: partial 12S ribosomal RNA
Source: RNAcentral